CGGGGCAUGGCGCAGCCUGGUAGCGCACCUGCAUGGGGUGCAGGGGGUCGUAGGUUCAAAUCCUACUGUCCCGACCA
Molecule: transfer RNA, 77 nt
Filed under: Methylophaga sp.
Lineage: Bacteria; Pseudomonadati; Pseudomonadota; Gammaproteobacteria; Thiotrichales; Piscirickettsiaceae
Description: tRNA-Pro
Rfam family: tRNA
About the family: Transfer RNA (tRNA) molecules are approximately 80 nucleotides in length. Their secondary structure includes four short double-helical elements and three loops (D, anti-codon, and T loops). Further hydrogen bonds mediate the characteristic L-shaped molecular structure. tRNAs have two regions of fundamental functional importance: the anti-codon, which is responsible for specific mRNA codon recognition, and the 3' end, to which the tRNAs corresponding amino acid is attached (by aminoacyl-tRNA synthetases). tRNAs cope with the degeneracy of the genetic code in two manners: having more than one tRNA (with a specific anti-codon) for a particular amino acid; and 'wobble' base-pairing, i.e. permitting non-standard base-pairing at the 3rd anti-codon position.
Source: RNAcentral